GACGAACGCUGGCGGCGUGCUUAACACAUGCAAGUCGAACGGAAAGGCCCCUUUGGGGGUACUCGAGUGGCGAACGGGUGAGUAACACGUGAGUAACCUGCCCUUGACUUCGGGAUAACUUCAGGAAACUGGGGCUAAUACCGGAUAGGAAUCCUUGCUGCAUGGUGGGGGUUGGAAAGCUUCGGCGGUGUUGGAUGGACUCACGGCUUAUCAGCUUGUUGGUGGGGUAGUGGCUUACCAAGGCUUUGACGGGUAGCCGGCCUGUGAGGGCGACCUGCCACAUUGGGACUGAGAUACGGCCCAGCCUCCUACGGGAGGGAGCAGUGGGGAAUAUUGCACAAUGGGCGGAAGCCUGAUGCAGCAACGCCGCGUGCGGGAUGACGGCCUUCGGGUUGUAAACCGCUUUCAGCAGGGGCGAAGCUUGUGGUGACGGUACCUGAAGAAGAAGCACCGGCUAACUACGUG
This 465-nucleotide ribosomal RNA is filed under the name uncultured bacterium. RNAcentral describes it as "partial 16S ribosomal RNA". It matches the Rfam family "Bacterial small subunit ribosomal RNA", at positions 28 to 507 of the family's 1533-position model. The record is from RNAcentral.